CCUAUGGCCUAACAACAGUAUCUUUAUCUUGAGUGAAAGGGAUUCAACUGACCUCAUUUUGCUCAGUGAAAGUGUAGGACAUCCUGAUAUCUACCCUCCCAGUGAAGACUGGUUCCUUCAACAUGAGAGAGCACUGAGAGAGAGUAGCCUCAUUUUGCAGAUACUCUGUAGCUCCUGAGUGAGAGAAACUACAGAAGGAGGCACACAAAAGAAAACUGGAAGAGACCAUAGCCAGGACAAGUGACCCUAACCAGCCCAAGGAGAUAUUCCGUAAUCAUAGAAUGCCAUGCCCAGUAUAUAAACUGGAGGAGUUACCUAGAAUGGGGGCCAUUCUGGGUUUGGAAACAGGAUCUGGCAUCCCCCACCUCACCUGGAAAAGACUGUGGCAGAGUUUUGUGUUUUUGUGAGACAUAAAUAAUUCUCACUCUCCUCUUCCAGUAAAACAAUUCUUGGUAUCAGAAGAUAAAAAGCCCUGUCAGAUCAGAAGACCCACUGCUGAAAUAAAAAAGCCCCAGGAUAUGAUAGAAAAUCAGAAUCAAGCUAAA
This is a long non-coding RNA of Pipra filicauda (Wire-tailed manakin), 545 nucleotides long. RefSeq lists it as uncharacterized. The transcript has 4 exons. The record is from RefSeq and is a predicted model, not a curated record. NCBI's taxonomy places the organism in Eukaryota, Metazoa, Chordata, Aves, Passeriformes, Pipridae.